Molecule: ribosomal RNA, 263 nt
Filed under: uncultured Oscillospiraceae bacterium
Lineage: Bacteria; Bacillati; Bacillota; Clostridia; Eubacteriales; Oscillospiraceae
Description: partial 16S ribosomal RNA
Rfam family: Bacterial small subunit ribosomal RNA
Source: RNAcentral
AAAUGAUAGGAAUGCUUAGUGGCGGACUGGUGAGUAACGCGUGAGGAACCUGCCUUCCAGAGGGGGACAACAGUUGGAAACGACUGCUAAUACCGCAUGACGCAUGACCGGGGCAUCCCGGGCAUGUCAAAGAUUUUAUCGCUGGAAGAUGGCCUCGCGUCUGAUUAGCUAGAUGGUGGGGUAACGGCCCACCAUGGCGACGAUCAGUAGCCGGACUGAGAGGUUGACCGGCCACAUUGGGACUGAGAUACGGCCCAGACUCC